UCACCCUGACUUCAGUGGAAACAGAACCAGGCCUUUGUUGAGCAGCGAAGACAUUUUCAGGGUGGACCACUACAUGAGUUGCAAAACCACUGGUGGAAGUAACGUCGAAGCGCUUUUAAAAAUCAACAUGUUUCCAUCGACUAGCAUGCAGCCAGCAGGGGAAAAAACCCAAUCAGGAAUUGCUGGGAAUGUUGUGAGCUCUCUCUAGACUAGGGGAGGCUGGCGGGGCUGUUCUGUAUGCGCCUUCUGAUUUGAAUGGAGAAAGAGAAUUCGGAUUACCGGGGGAUACAACCAAGCACAUUUUCGGAGGUGACGAAGAGCUGUUAAUUGCAUUUCGCUUCUUCAACAGUGCUAGGUGUUAGCUUCUACGCUUUAAAAAGAAAAGUGACCUUUUUCCACCGGGCACGUAGCUCGUGUGCCUAGUAGUGACUGUGUUUCAAAGCAGACCAGAGUGGCCCCCUCACACCAUAAAUCGUUGUACAGCUACUUUGGAGGCUAUUGAAACUAUGGCCAAGCUACCAACCAGCCUUGUAAAGAGCUGGGCAUAAAAAUGGGACCCAACAUCUAAAUCAGGCUGGAAAUGAAGCAGGGGGAAGUCAA
This is a long non-coding RNA of Mauremys reevesii (Reeves's turtle), 600 nucleotides long. RefSeq lists it as uncharacterized. Lineage: Eukaryota; Metazoa; Chordata; Testudines; Geoemydidae. The transcript is spliced from 3 exons. The record is from RefSeq and is a predicted model, not a curated record.